AUUGAACGCUGGCGGCAUGCCUUACACAUGCAAGUCGAACGGUAACGGGCCUUCGGGUGCCGACGAGUGGCGAACGGGUGAGUAAUACAUCGGAACGUGCCCGAUCGUGGGGGAUAACGAGGCGAAAGCUUUGCUAAUACCGCAUACGAUCUACGGAUGAAAGCAGGGGACCGCAAGGCCUUGCGCGGACGGAGCGGCCGAUGGCAGAUUAGGUAGUUGGUGGGAUAAAAGCUUACCAAGCCGACGAUCUGUAGCUGGUCUGAGAGGAUGAUCAGCCACACUGGGACUGAGACACGGCCCAGACUCCUACGGGAGGCAGCAGUGGGGAAUUUUGGACAAUGGGCGCAAGCCUGAUCCAGCCAUGCCGCGUGCAUGAUGAAGGCCUUCGGGUUGUAAACUGCUUUUGUACGGAACGAAAAGCCUUCUUUUAAUACAGGAGGGUCAUGACGGUACCGUAAGAAUAAGCACCGGCUAACUACGUG
This 482-nucleotide ribosomal RNA is filed under the name uncultured bacterium. RNAcentral describes it as "partial 16S ribosomal RNA". It matches the Rfam family "Bacterial small subunit ribosomal RNA", at positions 30 to 507 of the family's 1533-position model. The record is from RNAcentral.